This 572-nucleotide long non-coding RNA is filed under the name Mytilus galloprovincialis (Mediterranean mussel). Lineage: Eukaryota; Metazoa; Mollusca; Bivalvia; Mytilida; Mytilidae. The record is from RNAcentral.
CUUGGUCUGGUAUUCCGUGACAGAGCAAUGAAUCACCAUUGAAAACUAUUAGCGUAAAUUGCCCCUUUCUUCGUAUUGUUUUUCACUAAAAAUUAAACUCAGUUCAGUUGGUGAAAGCUUAAAUACAUAAAAAUCAACAUUGCGUAUACUUUCGUAGUUUAUUACACAACAUCCUCAUUGUUAACUUCACUCAAGCGCUCUUUCUAUUUUGUUAUAAUGGAAGUGUCAUUGUCUAUGUCCAUUGCAUCAAUAUUUUACACCAUGUUUUGUAGUUUGAAGUGCACGUCAUCCCUUAUGUGGAUAUGCAGCCCAUGUUGAUAUCUUGUGAGACGGAAAUCUUCAAAUAUAAUAACUUGACACAUUAAACGGAUACGCGUGGCAUGUAUUUUAGAACAACACAAAGAACCUAUGUCUCCACUGACGGCGAUGUUCGGUAUAAAAAUAUAUUGAUUGACAGGAGCAGUUCAGUUGCUCUGCUCUGUAUAGAAUUAUGAUAAGAACACGUUUUGUCCAACAAAUACCUUCUGUGUUGAAUAAUGUUGGCUUUACCAUAGUCUAAUAUAAUGUCGUGU